AGACAAAUAGCUUAAAUAAGAAAGCGCGGCGUUGAAGGUGCCCAGACAGGUCUAACCUUUUGUUUA
This 66-nucleotide transfer RNA is filed under the name Myosotella myosotis (mouse ear snail). RNAcentral describes it as "tRNA-Phe". Lineage: Eukaryota; Metazoa; Mollusca; Gastropoda; Ellobiida; Ellobiidae. The record is from RNAcentral.